Molecule: unclassified non-coding RNA, 496 nt
Filed under: Hevea brasiliensis (rubber tree)
Lineage: Eukaryota; Viridiplantae; Streptophyta; Magnoliopsida; Malpighiales; Euphorbiaceae
Source: RNAcentral
UACUCCAAAUGGGUAUUAUGUUUCCUAUGAUGGAUGGGGGAAUAAGGAAGAGGUAAGAUUUGUCACCCCACUUCCAAAUCAUUAAUGUCUUGGUAUAUGUAAAUUGCCUUGACUUAGUUUUACCCAUCUAUGUGGAUUGUUGCUAAGUCUUGCAACAGAACUGUGUUGUAUUGAGGCUUUCAUUGGAAGUAUGGUGGAUGAAAGUGAAAAUGGAUUAUGGCUGUUUUGAACGUUUUGAACAGAUUGCUUGUUGACAUUUCCAAAGAUGAGUAUAACCGUGAUCCAUAAUAGCAUAAUCCAACAAUUCUAGAAACCAGGUUUCAUUUCAUUAAGUCAUCACUUAGUGGUGGUUCCAGUGUUGUCGAAAGUGCUAGACGCCCUUAAGGCGAGAAGGUCCUUCAUCGCCCGAGGCGCUAGGCACUCACCUGAGCAAAGUGAGGCGCUAAUUUAUUCUAAAAUAAUAAAUAAUUAUAUAUACAAUGUAAAAAAGUCUUAC